UUACGGCCAUAUAACAUUGAAGUACCGGUUCUUGUACGAAGUUAAGCAAUGUCGAGCCUGGUCAGUACCUAGCUGGGUGACCGCUUGGGAAGACCAGGUGA
Non-coding RNA from Acanthosepion pharaonis, 101 nucleotides. Lineage: Eukaryota; Metazoa; Mollusca; Cephalopoda; Sepiida; Sepiidae. The record is from the annotation of a GenBank genome assembly.